AGCCUGAACGCUGGCGGCGUGGCUAAGACAUGCAAGUCGUACGGAGGUAGCAAUACCUCAGUGGCGAACGGGUGAGUAAUGAAUCGCUAACGUGCCCUGGACUUCGGGAUAGCUAUCCGAAAGGGUAGGUAAUACCGGGUGAUAUACCCUUUCCGCAUGGAAGGGGUCUCAAAGGUCCGCCGGUCUUCGGUGGAUGGUCUGGGAGCGGGCGAUUUCGUAUCAGCUAGUUGGUGGGGUAACGGCCCACCAAGGCGACGACGCGUAGCCGGACUGAGAGGUUGGCCGGCCACAUUGGGACUGAGACACUGCCCAGACUCCUACGGGGGCUGCAGUAACGAAUCUUCCGCAAUGCACGAAAGUGUGACGGAGCGACGCCGCGUGGAGGACGAAGUUCUCGGAAUGUAAACUCCUGUCAGGGGAAGAAAGUUCUGAUCUACCCCAGAGGAAGAGGCGGCUAACUCUGCGCCAGCAGCCGC
Molecule: ribosomal RNA, 476 nt
Filed under: uncultured bacterium
Lineage: Bacteria
Description: SSU rRNA
Rfam family: Bacterial small subunit ribosomal RNA
Source: RNAcentral